AGUGAACGCUGGCGGUAGGCCUAACACAUGCAAGUCGAACGGCAGCACAGUAAGAGCUUGCUCUUACGGGUGGCGAGUGGCGGACGGGUGAGGAAUACAUCGGAAUCUACUUUUUCGUGGGGGAUAACGUAGGGAAACUUACGCUAAUACCGCAUACGACCUACGGGUGAAAGCAGGGGAUCUUCGGACCUUGCGCGAUUGAAUGAGCCGAUGUCGGAUUAGCUAGUUGGCGGGGUAAAGGCCCACCAAGGCGACGAUCCGUAGCUGGUCUGAGAGGAUGAUCAGCCACACUGGAACUGAGACACGGUCCAGACUCCUACGGGAGGCAGCAGUGGGGAAUAUUGGACAAAGGGCGCAAGCCUGAUCCAGCCAUACCGCGUGGGUGAAGAAGGCCUUCGGGUUGUAAAGCCCUUUUGUUGGGAAAGAAAAGCAGCAGGUUAAUACCCCGCUGUUCCGACGGUACCCGAAGAAUAAGCACCGGCUAACUUCGUG
RNAcentral lists this ribosomal RNA (492 nucleotides) under uncultured bacterium. RNAcentral describes it as "partial 16S ribosomal RNA". It matches the Rfam family "Bacterial small subunit ribosomal RNA", at positions 29 to 507 of the family's 1533-position model. The record is from RNAcentral.